RNAcentral lists this ribosomal RNA (390 nucleotides) under uncultured bacterium. Its description in RNAcentral is "bacterial SSU rRNA". It matches the Rfam family "Bacterial small subunit ribosomal RNA", at positions 30 to 425 of the family's 1533-position model. The record is from RNAcentral.
AUUGAACGCUGGCGGCAUGCCUUACACAUGCAAGUCGAACGGCAGCACGGGGCAACCCUGGUGGCGAGUGGCGAACGGGUGAGUAACAUAUCGGAACGUGCCCUGGAGUGGGGGAUAACUAGUCGAAAGACUAGCUAAUACCGCAUACGAUCUACGGAUGAAAGUGGGGGAUCGCAAGACCUCAUGCUCGUGGAGCGGCCGAUAUCUGAUUAGCAGUUGGUAGGGUAAAGCCUACCAAGGCGACGAUCAGUAGCUGGUCUGAGAGGACGGCCAGCCACACUGGGACUGAGACACGGCCCAGACUCCUACGGGAGGCAGCAGUGGGGAAUUUUGGACAAUGGGGCAACCCUGAUCCAGCAAUGCCGCGUGUGUGAAGAAGGCCUUCGGUUG